RNAcentral lists this transfer RNA (88 nucleotides) under Ewingella americana. RNAcentral's name for it is "tRNA-Ser(tga)". It matches the Rfam family "tRNA". From Rfam's summary of the family: Transfer RNA (tRNA) molecules are approximately 80 nucleotides in length. The record is from RNAcentral. Lineage: Bacteria; Pseudomonadati; Pseudomonadota; Gammaproteobacteria; Enterobacterales; Yersiniaceae. RNAcentral also lists the same sequence under 21 other names.
GGAGGGGUGGCCGAGCGGCUGAAGGCACCGGUCUUGAAAACCGGCGAUGGGAAACCAUUCAAGAGUUCGAAUCUCUUCUCCUCCGCCA